AUUAUGAUGAUGACAUUUUAUACCUAUAUGUCUUGACCAAAUCACGUGCCAGCAGUCGCGGUAAUACGUGGAAGACUAGUGUUAUUCAUCUUAAAUAGGUUUAAAGGGUACCUAGACGGUAAAUUAAGCCCAUAUAGGGAACUUUUAUACUAGAGUUUAAUAGGAGGAGGGGAGUACAGCUGAGUGUAGAGAUGAAAUUCUGUCAUACCUUCUGGAACAGGCAACGGCGAAAGCAACCUUUUAUGUAUAAACUGACGUUGAGGGACGAAGGCUCCGUACACCAACAGGAUUAGAUACCCUAGCAGUCUGAGCAGACAAUGAUGAAUGCCAUACAUAAGAUAAAAUAUUAUAAUAUUUUAUGUAUAAAUGAAAGUGUAAGCAUUCCACCUCAAGAGUAAUGUGGCAACGCAGAAACUGAAAUCAUUAGACCGUUUCUGAAACCAGUAGUGAAGUAUGUUGUUUAAUUAGAUGGUCCGCAAAAAACCUCACCACAAUUUGAAUAUUUCUAUACAUUAUAGAUAUACAAGCGUUGCACGGCUGUCUUCAGUUAAUGUCGUGAGAUUUUGGUUAGUUCCAUUAAAUUAACGUAAACCCUUACUUUAUUUUUUUUUAUAAAGUAGUUCGCCAUUAUAUUGGAUAUGAUAAUAGGGACUAAGACAAGUCAUCAUGGCCUUAAUAUUGU
RNAcentral lists this ribosomal RNA (682 nucleotides) under Thrombium epigaeum. RNAcentral describes it as "SSU rRNA". It matches the Rfam family "Bacterial small subunit ribosomal RNA", at positions 460 to 1210 of the family's 1533-position model. The record is from RNAcentral. Lineage: Eukaryota; Fungi; Ascomycota; Lecanoromycetes; Protothelenellaceae.